UGGGGAAUAUUGGACAAUGGGCGAAAGCCUGAUCCAGCAAUGCCGCGUGUGUGAAGAAGGCCUGCGGGUUGUAAAGCACUUUCAGUAGCGAGGAAAAGCUCAAGGUUAAUAACCUUGAGUCUUGACGUUAACUACAGAAGAAGCACCGGCUAACUCUGUGCCAGCAGCCGCGGUAAUACAGAGGGUGCAAGCGUUAAUCGGAAUUACUGGGCGUAAAGCGCGCGUAGGCGGUUUAAUCAGUCGGAUGUGAAAGCCCCGGGCUCAACCUGGGAACUGCAUUCGAUACUGUUAAGCUAGAGUAUGGUAGAGGAUAGUGGAAUUCCUGGUGUAGCGGUGAAAUGCGUAGAUAUCAGGAGGAACAUCAGUGGCGAAGGCGACUGUCUGGACCAAUACUGACGCUGAGGUGCGAAAGCGUGGGGAGCAAACA
This 427-nucleotide ribosomal RNA is filed under the name uncultured bacterium. RNAcentral describes it as "bacterial SSU rRNA". It matches the Rfam family "Bacterial small subunit ribosomal RNA", at positions 355 to 774 of the family's 1533-position model. The record is from RNAcentral.